AUUAGCCAUGGACGCAAAAAGUUGGGUGUCGGCAUCAUCAUCACCAUGGAGCUAUUAAAAUGGACAGUGAACUGCUGACAAGGAAUCCCUGCAUACAACAUGCAGCAGAUGGACUAGUUAUUACAACUCGCCCAACCAACCUCAGACAGAUUCAGCUAAAAUGUCUCCAUGGAAUAACAUUCAAGAUCACAGGCGGCAGUAAAUAAGGUUUGGGCAAGUGGUUAUGCCGUAAUUUUUAAAAGGUCUGGUGUGGUUUCAGUUUCCCAAGCGGGGCUAGUGGGUUCAUGUAAGAUCUUGUAACUGAGGGUCAAAGGUAGAGAAGAGGGGCAUAUCUAUGGAGACAAGAGGGCGUGUGAAAAGCACAAGACAUGUCAGACAGGCAGACUGGACAAA
This is a long non-coding RNA of Acanthaster planci (crown-of-thorns starfish), 393 nucleotides long. RefSeq lists it as uncharacterized. Lineage: Eukaryota; Metazoa; Echinodermata; Asteroidea; Valvatida; Acanthasteridae. The record is from RefSeq and is a predicted model, not a curated record.